GAUGAACGCUAGCGGCAGGCCUAACACAUGCAAGUCGAGGGGCAGCACAGAAACAGCAAUGUUUUGGUGGCGACCGGCGGACGGGUGCGUAACGCGUAUGCAACCUACCUUUAACAGGGGGAUAACGGAGAGAAAUUUCCACUAAUACCCCAUAACAUCGAUCAAGGCAUCUUGAUUGGUUGAAAACUCCGGUGGUUAAAGAUGGGCAUGCGUUGUAUUAGGUAGUUGGUGAGGUAAUGGCUCACCAAGCCUACGAUACAUAGGGGGACUGAGAGGUUAGCCCCCCACACUGGUACUGAGACACGGACCAGACUCCUACGGGAGGCAGCAGUGAGGAAUAUUGGUCAAUGGGGGCAACCCUGAACCAGCCAUGCCGCGUGCAGGAAGACGGCUCUAUGAGUUGUAAACUGCUUUUGUACAGGGAUAAAUCGGGGAACGUGUUCCCCGUUAAAGGUACUGUACGAAUAAGGAUCGGCUAACUCCGUGCCAGCCGCCGCCGUAA
RNAcentral lists this ribosomal RNA (502 nucleotides) under uncultured bacterium. RNAcentral describes it as "partial 16S ribosomal RNA". It matches the Rfam family "Bacterial small subunit ribosomal RNA", at positions 28 to 523 of the family's 1533-position model. The record is from RNAcentral.